Molecule: non-coding RNA, 515 nt
Organism: Pelobates cultripes (western spadefoot toad)
Lineage: Eukaryota; Metazoa; Chordata; Amphibia; Anura; Pelobatidae
Source: the annotation of a GenBank genome assembly
CUAUCUUUCCUAUAUAAAGAGUACCCUGGUAUUGCUAUGUCCCAGUCAUUUUUCUCAUUGUACCAUGUCUCAGUAACAGCGACUAAAUCUACACUAUCAGUUGCCAUUAUUGCCACAAAUUCAUGGAUCUUAUUCCCUAAACUGCGAGCAUUUGUAGACAUGACUCUAAGCUUAUCAUUUUUUAAUACACUUGCUACAGGCACCUUCUGUCCUUGUUUUGGGGGACAAUUGGAUUGAUGUUUUAUCAUCCUUUUGCCCCCCCUCCUAGUUUAAAUACAUCCUAGCAAAACCUCUGAACUGCUCACUGAGAACAUUUGUUCCCUUUUGAGAAAGAUGCAAACCAUCUUUUUUGUACAGCUUAUCUCCAUUCCAAACAGAGCUACCAUGAGAAAUAAAGCCAAAUCCUUGCUCCUGACACCAUUCACCAAGCCACAAAUUAAAGUCCCUAAUACGCAUCCGCCUGUCGUUCUGAGUGUUAUGCACAGGCAGAACUUCAGAGAAUGACAGUGUGGAAG